GAUGAACGCUAGCGGCAGGCCUAACACAUGCAAGCCGAACGGCAAGUUUGAUAGCAAUUUUCGACCUAGAGUGGCGCACGGAUGAGUAACACGUAUGCAACCUGCCCGCGACAGGAGGCUAGCUCUACGAAAGGGGAAUUAACCCUCCAUAACACCAUGAGCAGGCAUCUGAUUAUGGUUAAACCGCAAGGGGUCGCGUAUGGGCAUGCGGUUGAUUAGCUAGUUGGCGGGGUAAAGGCCCACCAAGGCGGUGAUCAAUAGGGGUUCUGAGAAGAAGGUCGCCCGAACUGGCACUGAGAUACGGGCCAGAUGCGUACGGGAGGCGGCAGUAGGGAAUAGUGGACGAUGGUUGCAAGACGGAACCAGCCAUGGCGCGUGCAGGAAGAGGGCCGUGGAGGUCGUAGGCUGCUUUUUCCUGAGGAUAAAAUACCCGUGCGCAGGGAAUGAAGGGUAACAGGGGAAUAAGCCACGGCUAACUACGU
RNAcentral lists this ribosomal RNA (482 nucleotides) under uncultured bacterium. RNAcentral's name for it is "partial 16S ribosomal RNA". It matches the Rfam family "Bacterial small subunit ribosomal RNA", at positions 28 to 506 of the family's 1533-position model. The record is from RNAcentral.